RNAcentral lists this ribosomal RNA (2918 nucleotides) under Escherichia coli. RNAcentral describes it as "partial 23S ribosomal RNA". It matches the Rfam family "Bacterial large subunit ribosomal RNA". The record is from RNAcentral. Lineage: Bacteria; Pseudomonadati; Pseudomonadota; Gammaproteobacteria; Enterobacterales; Enterobacteriaceae.
GGGUUGUGAGGUUAAGCGACUAAGCGUACACGGUGGAUGCCCUGGCAGUCAGAGGCGAUGAAGGACGUGCUAAUCUGCGAUAAGCGUCGGUGAGGUGAUAUGAACCGUUAUAACCGGCGAUUUCCGAAUGGGGAAACCCAGUGUGUUUCGACACACUAUCAUUAACUGAAUCCAUAGGUUAAUGAGGCGAACCGGGGGAACUGAAACAUCUAAGUACCCCGAGGAAAAGAAAUCAACCGAGAUUCCCCCAGUAGCGGCGAGCGAACGGGGAGGAGCCCAGAGCCUGAAUCAGGGUGUGUGUUAGUGGAAGCGUCUGGAAAGGCGCGCGAUACAGGGUGACAGCCCCGUACACAAAAAUGCACAUACUGUGAGCUCGAUGAGUAGGGCGGGACACGUGGUAUCCUGUCUGAAUAUGGGGGGACCAUCCUCCAAGGCUAAAUACUCCUGACUGACCGAUAGUGAACCAGUACCGUGAGGGAAAGGCGAAAAGAACCCCGGCGAGGGGAGUGAAAAAGAACCUGAAACCGUGUACGUACAAGCAGUGGGAGCCUCUUAAUGGGGUGACUGCGUACCUUUUGUAUAAUGGGUCAGCGACUUAUAUUCUGUAGCAAGGUUAACCGAAUAGGGGAGCCGAAGGGAAACCGAGUCUUAACUGGGCGUUAAGUUGCAGGGUAUAGACCCGAAACCCGGUGAUCUAGCCAUGGGCAGGUUGAAGGUUGGGUAACACUAACUGGAGGACCGAACCGACUAAUGUUGAAAAAUUAGCGGAUGACUUGUGGCUGGGGGUGAAAGGCCAAUCAAACCGGGAGAUAGCUGGUUCUCCCCGAAAGCUAUUUAGGUAGCGCCUCGUGAAUUCAUCUCCGGGGGUAGAGCACUGUUUCGGCAAGGGGGUCAUCCCGACUUACCAACCCGAUGCAAACUGCGAAUACCGGAGAAUGUUAUCACGGGAGACACACGGCGGGUGCUAACGUCCGUCGUGAAGAGGGAAACAACCCAGACCGCCAGCUAAGGUCCCAAAGUCAUGGUUAAGUGGGAAACGAUGUGGGAAGGCCCAGACAGCCAGGAUGUUGGCUUAGAAGCAGCCAUCAUUUAAAGAAAGCGUAAUAGCUCACUGGUCGAGUCGGCCUGCGCGGAAGAUGUAACGGGGCUAAACCAUGCACCGAAGCUGCGGCAGCGACGCUUAUGCGUUGUUGGGUAGGGGAGCGUUCUGUAAGCCUGUGAAGGUGGCCUGUGAGGGUUGCUGGAGGUAUCAGAAGUGCGAAUGCUGACAUAAGUAACGAUAAAGCGGGUGAAAAGCCCGCUCGCCGGAAGACCAAGGGUUCCUGUCCAACGUUAAUCGGGGCAGGGUGAGUCGACCCCUAAGGCGAGGCCGAAAGGCGUAGUCGAUGGGAAACAGGUUAAUAUUCCUGUACUUGGUGUUACUGCGAAGGGGGGACGGAGAAGGCUAUGUUGGCCGGGCGACGGUUGUCCCGGUUUAAGCGUGUAGGCUGGUUUUCCAGGCAAAUCCGGAAAACCAAGGCUGAGGCGUGAUGACGAGGCACUACGGUGCUGAAGCGACAAAUGCCCUGCUUCCAGGAAAAGCCUCUAAGCAUCAGGUAACAUCAAAUCGUACCCCAAACCGACACAGGUGGUCAGGUAGAGAAUACCAAGGCGCUUGAGAGAACUCGGGUGAAGGAACUAGGCAAAAUGGUGCCGUAACUUCGGGAGAAGGCACGCUGAUAUGUAGGUGAAGCGACUUGCUCGUGGAGCUGAAAUCAGUCGAAGAUACCAGCUGGCUGCAACUGUUUAUUAAAAACACAGCACUGUGCAAACACGAAAGUGGACGUAUACGGUGUGACGCCUGCCCGGUGCCGGAAGGUUAAUUGAUGGGGUUAGCGGUAACGCGAAGCUCUUGAUCGAAGCCCCGGUAAACGGCGGCCGUAACUAUAACGGUCCUAAGGUAGCGAAAUUCCUUGUCGGGUAAGUUCCGACCUGCACGAAUGGCGUAAUGAUGGCCAGGCUGUCUCCACCCGAGACUCAGUGAAAUUGAACUCGCUGUGAAGAUGCAGUGUACCCGCGGCAAGACGGAAAGACCCCGUGAACCUUUACUAUAGCUUGACACUGAACAUUGAGCCUUGAUGUGUAGGAUAGGUGGGAGGCUUUGAAGUGUGGACGCCAGUCUGCAUGGAGCCGACCUUGAAAUACCACCCUUUAAUGUUUGAUGUUCUAACGUGGGCCCGUAAUCCGGGUUGCGGACAGUGUCUGGUGGGUAGUUUGACUGGGGCGGUCUCCUCCUAAAGAGUAACGGAGGAGCACGAAGGUUGGCUAAUCCUGGUCGGACAUCAGGAGGUUAGUGCAAUGGCAUAAGCCAGCUUGACUGCGAGCGUGACGGCGCGAGCAGGUGCGAAAGCAGGUCAUAGUGAUCCGGUGGUUCUGAAUGGAAGGGCCAUCGCUCAACGGAUAAAAGGUACUCCGGGGAUAACAGGCUGAUACCGCCCAAGAGUUCAUAUCGACGGCGGUGUUUGGCACCUCGAUGUCGGCUCAUCACAUCCUGGGGCUGAAGUAGGUCCCAAGGGUAUGGCUGUUCGCCAUUUAAAGUGGUACGCGAGCUGGGUUUAGAACGUCGUGAGACAGUUCGGUCCCUAUCUGCCGUGGGCGCUGGAGAACUGAGGGGGGCUGCUCCUAGUACGAGAGGACCGGAGUGGACGCAUCACUGGUGUUCGGGUUGUCAUGCCAAUGGCACUGCCCGGUAGCUAAAUGCGGAAGAGAUAAGUGCUGAAAGCAUCUAAGCACGAAACUUGCCCCGAGAUGAGUUCUCCCUGACUCCUUGAGGGUCCUGAAGGAACGUUGAAGACGACGACGUUGAUAGGCCGGGUGUGUAAGCGCAGCGAUGCGUUGAGCUAACCGGUACUAAUGAACCGUGAGGCUUAACCUUACAA